CAAAGUAUAGUUAGAGUAGUUUAACAUUUCGUUUACGUUGAAAAGAAUUAUCGUGCAAAUCGAUUUACUUUGA
RNAcentral lists this transfer RNA (73 nucleotides) under Orisarma neglectum. RNAcentral's name for it is "Chiromantes neglectus tRNA-Val". The record is from RNAcentral. Lineage: Eukaryota; Metazoa; Arthropoda; Malacostraca; Decapoda; Sesarmidae.